GUUGCGGUUUACACAUGGUGGUUGCAUAAUAAUUGGUAUAAGCCUAUAUGAAGUUGAAUAAUUAUUAACACAAUAAUCGCUGUCCUUCUAUGCUUUUGAGCACCUUGUUUUAUUUAUAUAUACCCUCCUCUUCAACUUUUUCAUCAUCCACUACUUCUCUACCUCUGAGCUUCUCUCUCUAACUUACUCUAACUCAAAUAGUUUCUCAAGUUUCUCUCUCUAAAAGCUAGAAGAUGAGGUCAGCAACAUUUCAAGUGUUUAUGAUCCUGGGGCUCUUAGCCACCUCAUGCAUAGCACAAGGGCCCGGAGCAGCACCAUCCAAGUCACCAACAACAACCCCAUCACCAGUAACUCCACCAACCGCCACCCCUACACCACCACCAAAAUCAAAACCAGCCCCAGCACCAACAAAAGCCGUACCACCACCACCGCAUCAUGCUCCUGCUCAUGCUCCUGCUCAUGCUCCAACCAGUACUUCACCACCAUCAGAGGGACCUACCAAUACCCCACCACCGGCAUCAGGCCCUGGACCAGCUCAUCCACCACCAGCUGACACA
RNAcentral lists this long non-coding RNA (557 nucleotides) under Lupinus mutabilis. Its description in RNAcentral is "partial ncRNA". Lineage: Eukaryota; Viridiplantae; Streptophyta; Magnoliopsida; Fabales; Fabaceae. The record is from RNAcentral.